Molecule: ribosomal RNA, 468 nt
Filed under: uncultured bacterium
Lineage: Bacteria
Description: partial 16S ribosomal RNA
Rfam family: Bacterial small subunit ribosomal RNA
Source: RNAcentral
GACGAACGCUGGCGGCGUGCUUAACACAUGCAAGUCGAACGGAAAGGCCCUGCUUUUGUGGGGUGCUCGAGUGGCGAACGGGUGAGUAACACGUGAGUAACCUGCCCUUGACUUUGGGAUAACUUCAGGAAACUGGGGCUAAUACCGGAUAGGGGCUCCUGCUGCAUGGUGGGGGUUGGAAAGAUUCGGCGGUUGGGGAUGGACUCGCGGCUUAUCAGCUUGUUGGUGGGGUAGUGGCUUACCAAGGCUUUGACGGGUAGCCGGCCUGAGAGGGUGACCGGCCACAUUGGGACAGAGAUACGGCCCAGACUCCUACGGGAGGCAGCAGUGGGGAAUAUUGCACAAUGGGCGGAAGCCUGACGCAGCAACGCCGCGUGCGGGAUGAAGGCCUUCGGGUUGUAAACCGCGUUCGCCUGUGACGAAGCGUGAGUGACGGUAAUCGGUAAAGAAGCACCGGCUAACUACGUG